GCCGGAUACACAAAGGAUAGGGCAUAUCCGGUCUCUCAAAAUCCGGUUCCGCAAGGAGUGUCGGUUCGAUUCCGACCACCCGCACCA
RNAcentral lists this transfer RNA (87 nucleotides) under Aurantimonas endophytica. Its description in RNAcentral is "tRNA-Glu". Lineage: Bacteria; Pseudomonadati; Pseudomonadota; Alphaproteobacteria; Hyphomicrobiales; Aurantimonadaceae. The record is from RNAcentral.